GACGAACGCUGGCGGCGUGCUUAACACAUGCAAGUCGAACGGAAAGGCCCUGCUUUUGUGGGGUUCUCGAGUGGCGAACGGGUGAGUAACACGUGAGUAACCUGCCCUUGACUUUGGUAUAACUUCAGGAAACUGGGGCUAAUACCGGAUAGGAGCUCCUGCUCCAUGGUGGGGGUUGGAAAGUUUCGGCGGUUGGGGAUGGACUCGCGGCUUAUGAGCUUGUUGGUUGGGUAGUGGCUUACCAAGGCUUUGGCGGAUAGCCGGCCUGUGAGGGGGGACGGGGACAUUGGGACUGAGAGACGGAGCAGACGGCUACGGGGGGCAGUAGGGGGGAAUAUUGCACAAUGGGAGGAAGCGUGAGGAAGAGACGCUGGGGGCGGGAAGACGGCCUUCGGGUUGAAAACCGCUUUCGCCUGUGACGAAGCGGGAGUGACGGUAAUGGGUAAAGAAGCACCGGCUAACUACGUG
This 468-nucleotide ribosomal RNA is filed under the name uncultured bacterium. RNAcentral describes it as "partial 16S ribosomal RNA". It matches the Rfam family "Bacterial small subunit ribosomal RNA", at positions 28 to 507 of the family's 1533-position model. The record is from RNAcentral.